Long non-coding RNA from Ipomoea triloba (trilobed morning glory), 1485 nucleotides. RefSeq lists it as uncharacterized. The transcript has 4 exons. The record is from RefSeq and is a predicted model, not a curated record. NCBI's taxonomy places the organism in Eukaryota, Viridiplantae, Streptophyta, Magnoliopsida, Solanales, Convolvulaceae.
GUCCAACCCAGUACAUACUACAUUUCUUCAGUCUUCCGCUCUCGGCAAAAAUUUUCUCUAAGGAUGAAGUCUUUUUUCUCGGAACUCCCGCGUUUCUAAGUCAUAUUUACUUUAGAUAUUCAGAGACCUGCCCUUAAUGCAAAUUAGGAAAGAGAAGUUUAUCCUAUAUAAGAGAGAUGCAAUCCAUCUAUUGCUUCAUGGACAGACUCGCUUCAAUUUUGUCUAUGACUUGAGAACAACAGCAUUCCUUUGAUAUGCGGUUUUGGCACAUGCAAUUCACUGGAGAUGGUACUGAAGAUUCUGAGCUUGAUAUGCUAAAUUCCCCCCCUUUAGGAGAGGUGGGACGCAGAUCACUUCCUUGAGGCAUUUCUCCUGCUCUCAACUUUUGCUGAGAGGUGAUUUCGACAGCAUGCGUCUUGGAAGGUGAUAUGCAACUCUGAGUGUGGUUUACAUGAUUCUUCCUCACAACUCUUGGUCUAGGUGCAGCUCAAAAUGCAGCAUAUUUAUGAAGGCGGCAAUCGAGUCGAAAAUGUGGGAGUGAAAGCGCCUUCUCAGCUGCUUCUUUGGUCUGUAAUCUACCCUCAAUUCUUCUAUGUGUGUGUGUGUGUGUAUAUAUAUAUAUUCCAUUUCAUCUUGAAUUGGGUAUAUGUAGGAGUGGGUGCCCCAAAUUAUGAUAUGAUAUAUAGGGUGUGUUUCAGCUCAUAUAGUAAUUUGGGUUUGAAAGAGAACUGAUUGGCUGGAAACUGCGACUUAGCCAGCAUUUGUUAGUUGUGGAAAAAGAGAGAUGAAAGGCAAAGGAGAGAACUAAUGAAAGAAAAACAACAUUAAAUCCCAAAGUAUGGUCCAAGAAAAAGUGUGAGAAACUGGGAAUAAGAACCUUUAUAAUGAAAGCAUUGGCCACUUUUCAAAUCUAUAAUGCUACAUGGACCAAUCAAGCAUAUGAAAUAUUCAAACAGAAAUGACAUAGAGAGUAGCAUGUAUGAGGUCCAUCAGGAAUAUCAUGCAUUUCCAAGCAGCAUAUACAAAAUUUUCUAUGCUCCCUGCAGAAAAGAGAAGGAUGGACAAAUAUUUGAAGGAUCCUUGUAUGGGUGGAAUAGAAAAAGCUAAGUGGAGGAUCUGCGGCUCCACCUUCGAGCCUUUCUCCGGGUCUUCUUCUUGAUCUUGGAUGAAGAAAGCUUGGAAAGCGAACGGAUUUUUGGAGCUGGUUGAUCUUCUACUGGCAGCUCAGGUUCUCCAACAGCGGGAGGAAGGGCCUCCCUCGGGCCUUCCUCUGGCACGCAAGAUUUUUCUACUUGAUGAAUCAUGACCUCCUCUAGAUUACUCAUCCUUUUAUUGUCGAUUAGAAUGUCACCUUCACCCUGCAUAGAUGCAAAUAAACUGUGGUUCAUAGUGAUAUUAAUGUUUAUAUAUAGACUGUGAGAAAAAGGUUUCUUCACAAUUAAUUCAUUUUAUCUGGUGAAAAAGUUACUGUGAUGGUAGCUCAAA